CCUACGGGUGGCAGCAGUGGGGAAUAUUGGACAAUGGGCGCAAGCCUGAUCCAGCAAUGCCGCGUGUGUGAAGAAGGCCUUAGGGUUGUAAAGCACUUUCAGCAAUGAAGAAGUUGUAUUGGCUAAUAUCCAAUAUAAUUGACGUUAGUUGCAGAAGAAGUACUGGCUAACUCUGUGCCAGCAGCCGCGGUAAUACAGAGAGUGCAAGCGUUAAUCGGGAGUGUUGGGCGUAAAGGGGGUGUGGGUUGAUUCCCUGGGCUUAAGCUAGGAAGUGCAUUUAAUACUUUUUAUCUAGAGUAUUGUAGGGGGAAGUGGAAUUUCCGGUGUAGCGGUGAAAUGCGUAGAUAUCGGAAGGAACACCAGUGGCGAAGGCGACUUCCUGGACAAAUACUGACACUGAGACACGAAAGCGUGGGGAGCAAACAGGAUUAGAUACCCCAGUAGUC
Molecule: ribosomal RNA, 446 nt
Filed under: uncultured bacterium
Lineage: Bacteria
Description: partial 16S ribosomal RNA
Rfam family: Bacterial small subunit ribosomal RNA
Source: RNAcentral